Molecule: ribosomal RNA, 220 nt
Filed under: Boletinus cavipes
Lineage: Eukaryota; Fungi; Basidiomycota; Agaricomycetes; Boletales; Gyrodontaceae
Description: partial 26S ribosomal RNA
Rfam family: Eukaryotic large subunit ribosomal RNA
Source: RNAcentral
UUGACCUCAAAUCAGGUAGGACUACCCGCUGAACUUAAGCAUAUCAAUAAGCGGAGGAAAAGAANGUAACAAGGAUUCCCCUAGUAACUGCGAGUGAAGCGGGAAAAGCUCAAAUUUUGAAUCUGGCGGUCUUUUCGGCCGUCCGAGUUGUAAUCUAGAGAAGCGUCUUCCGCGCUGGACCGUGUAUAAGUUUCCUGGAACGGAACGUCGUAGAGGGUGA